GCUGGCGCCUCUCCCUCCACACCUCCCUGCAAGCUGAGGGAGCCGGCUCUGGCCUUGGCCAGCCUAGAAAGGGGCUCCCACAGUGCAGUGGUGGGCUGAAGGGCUCCUCAAAUGCCGCCAAAGUGGGAGCCCAGGCAGAGGAGGUGCCAAGAGCAAGCGAGGGCUCUGAGGACUGCCAGCACGCUGUCACCUGUCAUUAUCAACAACUUGACUAAAAUACCUCUGUGUUUGAAGAGGAAGCCAGAGAAAUUAGAAACAAGAGAAACAUUUGAUGCAUUAUUGCUGACUUGAAGAUGGAGAGAGGUUCCCCUGAGCAUACAGGAGUACUCCAUGAAGACUGCAAUGGCUUCCCUCUCACAAACUGCAUGCACGUCCAGCAGCUCCUGGAGUGUGUCUGUGGGGAAUCUCACUUGCUGGGCCAUCUGCUGGCUGUAGUGGUUGGCUGCCCUCUGCACGGCUGCUGAGUUCUCACACUGGGCCAGAACUGCCAUUGCAUUCUCCAGACAAGGAGUCGCUCCACUGUUGAUGGCAUCCAGAGACCAUCAAGCUUCAGAAGAUCAUGUGACAAAUGUUCCAGCCAGUUCCAGUUGAAGACACCACCCCUGGCCAUCAAGAAGCUACUCUGCCUCCACUAGACAGAGCAGGGUGACAGUUCCGUGAUCCCCAAUAGGUAGGGACUUUGCUUCAAGCCAGCAUGAGGCAGUUACAGAAGAAAGACCAUUAGUCACUCCACCUCCCAUAAAGAUUUAUGGGGAUGACAUCUCUCAGGGAGGAAAUGAGGCAGGAAAAUAGGAUCUGGAGGCAUAGAACAUAAGGCCUAUUCACACUUCAGCUAUGCCGGGAAAUAUUAUCUCCAUUUACAUAGGGCAUACACAAAGUAACCAAUGGAAACCUCUAGAGGGUAUUUAAAUCCCCCAAAAUUCUGUAACAGGACCCUUGAGCCCCUAUGCUUGGGCCCACUCCCACACUGUGGAGUGUACUUCCAUUUUCAAUAAAUAUCUGCUUUUGUUGCUUCA
Long non-coding RNA from Homo sapiens (human), 1016 nucleotides. RefSeq lists it as uncharacterized. NCBI's taxonomy places the organism in Eukaryota, Metazoa, Chordata, Mammalia, Primates, Hominidae. The transcript has 4 exons. The record is from RefSeq and is a predicted model, not a curated record.